Molecule: ribosomal RNA, 395 nt
Filed under: uncultured bacterium
Lineage: Bacteria
Description: bacterial SSU rRNA
Rfam family: Bacterial small subunit ribosomal RNA
Source: RNAcentral
GUGUCAGCAGCCGCGGUAAAACGUAGGAGGCAAGCGUUAUCCGGAUUUACUGGGCGUAAAGCGCGUGCAGGCGGCGAGGCAAGUUGGAUGUGAAAGCUCCCGGCUCAACUGGGAGAGGUCGUUCAAGACUGCCUGGCUAGAGGAUGGUAGAGGGAGGUGGAAUUCCGGGUGUAGUGGUGAAAUGCGUAGAUAUCCGGAGGAACACCAGUGGCGAAAGCGGCCUUCUGGACCAAUCCUGACGCUCAGACGCGAAAGCUAGGGUAGCAAACGGGAUUAGAGACCCCGGUAGUCCUAGCCGUAAACCAUGUAGACUUGGCGUCGGUGGGUUCAAAUCCAUCGGUGCCGCAGCUAACGCGAUAAGUCUACCGCCUGGGGACUACGGCCGCAAGGUUAAA